ACGGAGGGUGCGAGCGUUGUUCGGAAUCACUGGGCGUAAAGGGCGUGUAGGCGGCCUGCUAAGUCUGAUGUGAAAGCCCGGGGCUCACCCCCGGAAGGGCAUUGGAUACUGGCAGGCUCGAGUCCCGGAGAGGAGGGUGGAAUUCCUGGUGUAGCGGUGAAAUGCGUAGAUAUCAGGAGGAACACCGGUGGCGAGGGCGGCUCUCUGGACGGAGACUGACGCUGAGACGCGAAAGCGUGGGGAGCGAACAGGA
This 253-nucleotide ribosomal RNA is filed under the name uncultured prokaryote. RNAcentral's name for it is "partial 16S ribosomal RNA". It matches the Rfam family "Bacterial small subunit ribosomal RNA", at positions 525 to 777 of the family's 1533-position model. The record is from RNAcentral.